This 2072-nucleotide long non-coding RNA is filed under the name Marmota monax (woodchuck). The record is from RNAcentral. Lineage: Eukaryota; Metazoa; Chordata; Mammalia; Rodentia; Sciuridae.
CCUGUCUGUCCCUUUCUGAUGAGUUGCCAUUCUUGGGUUUUGGCAGCUCCCCAGUCACGAUGUGGAUUGGCCUGGUGUGUUCCCUGCAAACUGAAGACAACUGCCCUCUGGAGCCUUGUACAACUAGGAUGCAGUCCCAGCACAGCCAGAGAGCACCUCUUAGUCCUUGAGGAGUUACAAUAACUUCUCAACUCCUUGGUUUCACCACGUGUGCAAAGGGGCUAUCACUUUCUUUAAGAGAUUGCUGAGGAUGCCCAGAGAGAAGCUGGACUCAGAUGUGGAAUGCUGGCUGGUGAGUGGGGGGCCCCAGUUGCUCAGAUACACAUCACCCAAUCAGAUUAGAAGGACUUAAACUGUCCGUGAUGAGGGGAUCUGAUGUCACUGGCAUCAGGGAUGCACUGGGGGACCCCAACAGAAGCCCGUCUGCUGAAAGGAAGAGAAUGUCCCAGGAAGAGAUCUGCAUUAAAGAAAGAAGGUGUGUGGUGGGACCACGGCCAGCAAGGGCGCCUCAGUCAAGGGUUCAAAGCACGGGAUAAUACUGCACGUGGGUUGACCCAGCUGUCAGGAGUAACGUCCACUGUGGGAGCUGUCCCUCUGAAGGUCAAAGGCCUGAGGCCCUAGCAGUCCAGCUGGGGACACAAAGCAGACUGCAAUGUGGCAGGUGCAUGCUCUCCUGCCCCUUGCCAGGUGGCCCGGAGACGGGGUUGCUAAGCUACUCGUCCUGGGUUCUGUUUUGACCAGUAUUAGUCACGAUGAGCUCUAAGCCAGUUACCUUUGGUCCUUGCCCCUAGACCUUGUGAAUAAUUCUAUGAAAGUCCCUGGUCAUUUAUUUUCACUGUCAUAUCUAGGCACAUACGGAAGAAGAACUGAAUGAACUAAUAAGAUAUCUUGAAGUGCCCCAAACUAAAUUACUAUGUAUCAUAAAGCAAGAACUGAACUCAAAUAUUCAAAAUUAUUUUAGUCCAAAUUAUGUGUUUUCAUAUUCAAGGCAAAUGUCUGAGUGAUUUGCUAAAAUAAAACAAUGGCUUAACUCUAUUUAAAAUCCAAUUCCAUUUGUAUCUUCGUUAAGAAAUUUGCAUUGCAAAACAUCUGACAUGAGAUAUAGUUAUCAGUAUAUUGUCUCUCUCUUCAGGGAAGAUUUUGAGCAAACAGAGCUACUGCAAAUCUAAUUUUGCUGAAUACAAAAUAGAUUAAUAGCCAGUUCAUUCUAUAAAUAUAGCUUCUAAAAACAGAAGUUUUGCUGGUAAAGAAAAGAAAUAAAAUCCAAACAGCAUUACCAAUUAUACCACAGCACUUGUAGUAGAAUGGCAAUCAGCGGCUGCAAUUGUAAAAAGCAAAAUCAAGCACUUGAGUAUCAAGCACAAACUGCAGAAUUCACCUGAAUUACAGUCACAUCAAACCCAGUUUAUGAACUUUGACACAUUCAGUGUGGUAGGUAGAAAACAAACUCAGUGCUAGAAAUUCCCACGUCCCCUGUAGCAGGGCUCUAAUCUUACAAACAUUAUUUUGGAAUCUAAAAAUAACUCUAGAAGGCAAAUUUCACCAACUCCACCCUCGAAGUGGGAAGCUGAAUAUGCAAAGAAGCUCACAGGGGCCACACACAUACCGCCAAGUGGCAUGGAGCACAAUCAAGCCAGGUUGCUUUGGCUGUCCUCUGCCUUUCCAGAAACCUAGUGCUACUGAGCCCCUGCGUGGCAGAGCUUGGGUUUUGGUUUUUUCCUACCAGAAGGACACACUGGACAACAAGUGGCCCACUGAAAGUCAUCAGUGUCCACCUCAGCUACUUCACAACUGCUGGGUUUGAAACCCCUAACUACAGAGUUAACUGAAGGAGAUUAUGGCACAGAUGAAGCAAGUUCAAGAGCAAAGUUUAAAUGACUUUAAGUUCAGUACUGUGAGGAAUUUGAGAUGUGCAUCGGAAGGAAAGUAUCUAGAAAUUCAAGAUCCAUCAGAAAAAGAAAAAAAAAAAAAACAUAAAACACAACUGGAUGGAACACCAGGGUUUCUCAAGCUGCUGGACUCAAAAGUCCCCUCUAGAACGGGAGAGCAGCAAUUUCCUGCACCAGGGAGGU